UACGGAAGGAGCAGUGGGGAAUAUUGCACAAUGGGCGCAAGCCUGAUGCAGCCAUGCCGCGUGUAUGAAGAAGGCCUUCGGGUUGUAAAGUACUUUCAGUCGUGAGGAAGGUGUUAAGGUUAAUAACCUUAGCAAUUGACGUUAGCGACAGAAGAAGCACCGGCUAACUCCGUGCCAGCAGCCGCGGUAAUACGGAGGGUGCGAGCGUUAAUCGGAAUUACUGGGCGUAAAGGGCACGCAGGCGGUUAAUUAAGUUGGAUGUGAAAUCCCCGGGCUUAACCUGGGAAUGGCAUUCAAGACUGGUUAGCUAGAGUCUUGUAGAGGGGGUAGAAUUCCAUGUGUAGCGGUGAAAUGCGUAGAGAUGUGGAGGAAUACCGGUGGCGAAGGCGGCCCCUGGACAAAGACUGACGCUCAUGUGCGAAAGCGUGGGGAGCAAACAGGGAUUAGAUACCCGU
RNAcentral lists this ribosomal RNA (455 nucleotides) under uncultured bacterium. RNAcentral describes it as "bacterial SSU rRNA". It matches the Rfam family "Bacterial small subunit ribosomal RNA", at positions 340 to 789 of the family's 1533-position model. The record is from RNAcentral.